RNAcentral lists this ribosomal RNA (253 nucleotides) under uncultured bacterium. RNAcentral's name for it is "partial 16S ribosomal RNA". It matches the Rfam family "Bacterial small subunit ribosomal RNA", at positions 524 to 776 of the family's 1533-position model. The record is from RNAcentral.
UACGGGGGGGGCAAGCGUUGUUCGGAAUUACUGGGCGUAAAGGGCUCGUAGGCGGCCAACUAAGUCAGACGUGAAAUCCCUCGGCUUAACCGGGGAACUGCGUCUGAUACUGGAUGGCUUGAAUCCGGGAGAGGGGUGCGGAAUUCCAGGUGUAGCGGUGAAAUGCGUAGAUAUCUGGAGGAACACCGGUGGCGAAGGCGGCAUCCUGGACCGGCAUUGACGCUGAGGAGCGAAAGCCAGGGGAGCAAACAGG